GACGAACGCUGGCGGCGUGCUUAACACAUGCAAGUCGAACGGAAAGGCCCUGCUUUUGUGGGGUGCUCGAGUGGCGAACGGGUGAGUAACACGUGAGUAACCUGCCCUUGACUUUGGGAUAACUUCAGGAAACUGGGGCUAAUACCGGAUAGGAGCUCCUGCUGCAUGGUGGGGGUUGGAAAGUUUCGGCGGUUGGGGAUGGACUCGCGGCUUAUCAGCUUGUUGGUGGGGUAGUGGCUUACCAAGGCUUUGACGGGUAGCCGGCCUGAGAGGGUGACCGGCCACAUUGGGCCUGAGAUACGGCCCAGACUCCAACGGGAGGCAGCGGUGGGGAAUAUUGCACAAUGGGCGGAAGCCGGAUGCAGCAACGCCGCGUGCGGGAUGACGGCCUUCGGGUUGUAAACCGCUUUCGCCUGUGACGAAGCGUGAGUGACGGUAAUGGGUGAAGAAGCACCGGCUAACUACGUG
Molecule: ribosomal RNA, 468 nt
Filed under: uncultured bacterium
Lineage: Bacteria
Description: partial 16S ribosomal RNA
Rfam family: Bacterial small subunit ribosomal RNA
Source: RNAcentral